Long non-coding RNA from Zingiber officinale, 2363 nucleotides. RefSeq lists it as uncharacterized. The transcript is spliced from 3 exons. NCBI's taxonomy places the organism in Eukaryota, Viridiplantae, Streptophyta, Magnoliopsida, Zingiberales, Zingiberaceae. The record is from RefSeq and is a predicted model, not a curated record.
CCUAAAAUUGGGUCGAACAACUUUCCUCCCAACUCUGCCUUCAACAAUGCGAGUUGCGGACGGCCUUGCCCUGCGCAGGCUGCACUGUGCUACCGGCUGCGCGACAGCCUGCCCUGCUCGACCCCGCUUUGGCGGUCGUGCAGGGCCGCCUCACACUCAUCGUGAGCAGCGAGCAUGCAAGGCUGCCUCACGCUCGUCGCGAGCAGCGGGCGGCCCACCCUUCUCCACUCCCCGUCUCUUUGAUCCAUGGUCGGAAUCUCCUCCUCUGAGGAGGUGGAGGGGGAGGCUCCGACGCUACUUCUCUGUAGGCAUUCCCCUCCACUUCUGAGCUCAGCUUCUCCAGCUCCAUCAAUUCUUCUUCUUCUUCGAGAUCUAAGCUUGAAUUUCGGUAGCCAAAAACACAACGAGCAGUUGAGAGGAAGUGCAAAGGAGGAGAAGUGGGAGAUGCGUUGCGAUUGAGAGCAAAGGAGCAAGAAAGGGAUUCACUUUUUGACUUGUAAAUGACAUUUGACAUCCUCCGCUCGCUCUUGAUGCGCUUGUGAGGCUGGGGACGUGAACUUGCAGCAAGAUGGUGAUUGUCGCCUAGAAGGAGAUUGGAUUACUGCUAGUUACAAGUUAUUUGCCCUACUCCACCUUCGCCUACAAACCCUUAAAUCCCUUCCCCAUCGACAAGACCGUCCAAUCCCUCUUCCAACGCCGAUGCCACCCCGCACAAAGUCUCUUACCGGAAAAGGCAGGGCGAGGACGGCGGAGAAGAGAAAUCUCUUCUUAAAACGGGCAAGCAUUAUGCUAGCGGCCUCCACCUCCUCAUCUUCCUCGACCGCUACCACAGGUAGCAGGAAGCCCGUGGUGGUCUCCCGCUAGGCACCACAUGCCAAAGCUAUUGGAUCACAGUCUGGAGAAAAAAAGGAAGAGGGAUUGCUCUCGGAACCCUAAUGAACAGGCGCAGAAGCGGAGAGCCAGAAAGGAGACGAUCCGCGACUCUUCCGUAUGACAAUAAUAUCUGGGCUUUGCCGGCUUCCUGCCACCAUCUACUUCAGGAGCGACGCUCCUUGAAUAUUAAUAUUGGUAACCAGGUUGGAAGAGUUUUGCUGGGUUUAUUUCUCCAGUGUCUAGUUGUAGUGGCGAUGUCAAAGGUAGAUGUGGAGGAGAUGGAAAAGGGCAUAUGCCCUCUAGGCUUGCAAAAGAAAUGAGCUAGGAUAUUGAAGCUCUUGUGAUUAUCUGAGAACGAUUGAGUUUAUGUAACUCAGCUUCAUCGCAUUGACAAAUAUAGCUGAUUACUCUACGGGAUCAUAAUUUAGUCAUCUAUUGGAAGCUUCUUUGUGGUAAGAAAUUUCAUUUUGAAAGUUGAAUGAACUGAAUAGUAAAAAUUCAAUUUGUGUAAAUUUUUAUACUCGUAAGCCAUGAAUUACAUGAUAUGUGAGAUUAAUCAUGAUACAUCCAAAUGUUUUUUUAUCACUUUUAAAUGUCUUACGAUAUCGUUUUAUGGGCAAAGAAGCAGGUAUAGCUAUUAGGUGAAAUAUAUAAGUUUUUGAUGAAAUGAUACUAAUUUAGUGAAACAUUUAAGUGAUCCCACAACGUUUAAUUUACAUUUCACUAAACAGGUGGUAUUAUUCCAUCAAAAACUUGUAUGUUUAACCUAGUAGUCCUGCCUGCUUCUUUUCCCAUAAAUCAAAUAUAUUUUUAAAAGUGAGAAAUGAUGUAAAAUAGAAGUAAUGAUGUAUAUAUUUGUAGCAUGAUAUCUAGAACCGUUCAGAAUUAUUUAUCAAGCAAACACAUUUGAGCAUUCCAUGAUUAACCUCAUAGAUCAUGUAAUCCAUAAUUUAUAAGCAUUAAAAUUACACAUUAAAUUUUGCAAUAGAUGAUUAAUUUAUGAGAUCUUAUGGAGUAAUUUGUUUCAUCUUUCCAGCACAGAAUAUUGCAUGUGUAUCAACACAAAAAUAGGAAUGAAUUUAUCGCAUUGCUUAUGUUAUUCAUGUUCCAAAUACCCAUAAAGUUGUAUUCAAACAAAGACAUUCACUUACUAAUGCCAUGAAAUUGGGUUACAUAAACUUAAUCGUAUCUCAGAUACUUACAAAAGAAUCUCUUCAGCCUGGCUCGUUUCUUUUGUAAUCCUAGAAGACAUGAACCUUUAUUUGAAAUGGGAUCAAGCUCUAGUAGACUUUUCAUCCUUUCUGCAGUCUUCUCUCUGGAGCUGCAUCAAUUGAUGGAUACACAUCAGCAAUACUCGAUUGUACAACAUCCAUCCAUGACCCUAGUAUCUGGGGUUGACUAAUUCUAGAUAGCAAACCAAAUCUACUUCAAAAAUGGGUUAACAUCCAUGUAGUUUAAAUCAAAUGGUUAGCACUAAGACAAUUUGUUGU